GAUGGACGCUGGCGGCGUGCCUAAUACAUGCAAGUCGAGCGAACAGACGAGGAGCUUGCUCCUCUGACGUUAGCGGCGGACGGGUGAGUAACACGUGGAUAACCUACCUAUAAGACUGGGAUAACUUCGGGAAACCGGAGCUAAUACCGGAUAAUAUAUUGAACCGCAUGGUUCAAUAGUGAAAGACGGUUUUGCUGUCACUUAUAGAUGGAUCCGCGCCGCAUUAGCUAGUUGGUACGGUAACGGCUUACCAAGGCAACGAUGCGUAGCCGACCUGAGAGGGUGAUCGGCCACACUGGAACUGAGACACGGUCCAGACUCCUACGGGAGGCAGCAGUAGGGAAUCUUCCGCAAUGGGCGAAAGCCUGACGGAGCAACGCCGCGUGAGUGAUGAAGGUCUUCGGAUCGUAAAACUCUGUUAUUAGGGAAGAACAAAUGUGUAAGUAACUAUGCACGUCUUGACGGUACCUAAUCAGAAAGCCACGGCUAACUACGUG
This 497-nucleotide ribosomal RNA is filed under the name uncultured bacterium. Its description in RNAcentral is "partial 16S ribosomal RNA". It matches the Rfam family "Bacterial small subunit ribosomal RNA", at positions 28 to 507 of the family's 1533-position model. The record is from RNAcentral.